RNAcentral lists this RNase P RNA (380 nucleotides) under Sphingorhabdus sp. Its description in RNAcentral is "RNase P RNA component class A". It matches the Rfam family "Bacterial RNase P class A". Rfam says of the family: Ribonuclease P (RNase P) is a ubiquitous endoribonuclease, found in archaea, bacteria and eukarya as well as chloroplasts and mitochondria. Its best characterised activity is the generation of mature 5'-ends of tRNAs by cleaving the 5'-leader elements of precursor-tRNAs. The record is from RNAcentral. Lineage: Bacteria; Pseudomonadati; Pseudomonadota; Alphaproteobacteria; Sphingomonadales; Sphingorhabdaceae.
CCAGAGGGUUGGGCGACCGCCGCUUAGCGGGUAACUGCUAAGGGGAGGAAAGUCCGGGCUCCAGCGAGGAACGGUGCCGGAUAACGUCCGGCGAAAGCAAUUUUAGGGAAAGUGCCACAGAAAAUAGUCCACCGCAUUUCGAUGCGGCCAGGUCGAAACGGUGCGGUAAGAGCGCACCGCAUUUCUGGUAACAGAAAUGGCAUGGCAAACCCCACCGGGAGCAAAACCGAAUAGGGGCGGCAUAUGGCAUCCUCCUGCCAGUCGCCCGGGUUGGUUGCAUGAGCGGCGCAGCAAUGCGUCGCCUAGAUGAAUGGUCGCACAUCCGCCUCGGUUUUGGCCGAAGCGGAGGACAGAACCCGGCUUACAGACCCUCUGGCUUU